UACGAGGGGUGCAAGCGUUGUUCGGAAUCACUGGGCGUAAAGGGAGCGUAGGCGGAAGCGCAAGCGGACUGUACAAUACCGGGGCCCAACCCCGGACCUGCAGUUCGGACUGUGUUUCUUGGAUAGUUCAGGGGCAAGCGGAAUUCCUGGUGUAGCGGUGGAAUGCGUAGAGAUCAGGAAGAACACCGAUGGCGAAGGCAGCUUGCUGGGGAUUAAUCGACGCUGAGGCUCGAAAGUGCGGGUAGCAAAC
This 250-nucleotide ribosomal RNA is filed under the name uncultured prokaryote. RNAcentral describes it as "partial 16S ribosomal RNA". It matches the Rfam family "Bacterial small subunit ribosomal RNA", at positions 524 to 773 of the family's 1533-position model. The record is from RNAcentral.